GCUUAGCCAUAAAAUUUGAUACACAUAUUACAUCCAUUAUCCGCCAGGGUACUACAAGCAUUAAGCUCAAAACCCAAAGGACCUGGCGGUGCUUUAAAACCCCCUAGAGGAGCCUGUUCUAUAACUGAUAAUCCCCGCUCAACCUCACCCCUUCUUGCCAAUCCCGCCUAUAUACCGCCGUCGUCAGCUUACAUUGUGAAGUCCCAAUAGUGAGCAAAAUUGGUAAAACCCUAAACGUCAGGUCGAGGUGUAGUAAAUGAAGGGGGAAGAAAUAGGCUACAUUCGUUUAUUAACGCACUACGGACUAAAUGUUGAAAAUACAUAUACAAAGGAGGAUUUAGCAGUAAGAAGAAAGUAGAGUAUUCUUCUGAAACCGGCCCUAAAGCACG
This 389-nucleotide ribosomal RNA is filed under the name Dunckerocampus pessuliferus (yellow banded pipefish). RNAcentral's name for it is "partial 12S ribosomal RNA". It matches the Rfam family "Bacterial small subunit ribosomal RNA", at positions 794 to 1383 of the family's 1533-position model. Lineage: Eukaryota; Metazoa; Chordata; Actinopteri; Syngnathiformes; Syngnathidae. The record is from RNAcentral.